This 252-nucleotide ribosomal RNA is filed under the name uncultured bacterium. RNAcentral describes it as "partial 16S ribosomal RNA". It matches the Rfam family "Archaeal small subunit ribosomal RNA", at positions 474 to 727 of the family's 1478-position model. The record is from RNAcentral.
UACCAGCACCCCGAGUGGUCGGGACGUUUAUUGGGCCUAAAGCAUCCGUAGCCGGUUCUACAAGUCUUCCGUUAAAUCCACCUGCUUAACAGAUGGGCUGCGGAAGAUACUAUGGAGCUAGGAGGCGGGAGAGGCAAGCGGUACUCGAUGGGUAGGGGUAAAAUCCGUUGAUCCAUUGAAGACCACCAGUGGCGAAGGCGGCUUGCCAGAACGCGCUCGACGGUGAGGGAUGAAAGCUGGGGAGCAAACCGG